GACGAACGCUGGCGGCGUGCCUAACACAUGCAAGUCGAACGGGUGAGAGGAGCUUGCUCCUCGAUCUAGUGGCGAACGGGUGAGUAACGCGUGAGAAACCUACCUUUCAGUGGGGGGACAACAGUUGGAAACGACUGCUAAUACCGCAUAAGAUAUUUAUAUUGAAAGAAGCCCUUAAAGCUUCGCUUAAAGAUGGGCCUGCGGCGUAUUAACUAGUUGGUGAGGUAAUGGCUCACCAAGGUAACGAUGCGUAGCCGAACUGAGAGGUUGAACGGCCACACUGGGACUGAGACACGGCCCAGACUCCUACGGGAGACAGCGAGUAGGAACUAUCGUCAAUGGGGGAAACCUGAACGAGCAAUGCCGCGUGA
RNAcentral lists this ribosomal RNA (371 nucleotides) under uncultured bacterium. Its description in RNAcentral is "bacterial SSU rRNA". It matches the Rfam family "Bacterial small subunit ribosomal RNA", at positions 28 to 404 of the family's 1533-position model. The record is from RNAcentral.